AUAAAUAAAAAUAAAGAUGUUGUGUCCAAUUACAACUAAAAAAAAUAUAUAUUUUUUAAAAAGAAUAUAGUAUGAUGCAUUUUGACAAAGGCAGUCUUACUGUCCCCACCAGUUUUGACAGAGGAUACUUUCAUCACACCCACUCCAGAGCUUAACCUUGAGUUCUGCAUGCUUGAAGGCAGUUCUUUCCCCCUGCCUCAACCUCUUAUAAUCAGUCUGAUUCUGUCUCUAUUAGAAAACGCGUGUGUGUCGGGGGGGGGGGUAUUUUUGCUACUAGGAGUUUAAAGAUGGGAACUAUACCACUGAACUACAGUCCUAGUCUUUUUAAAUUUUGAGACAGGUCUUGCUAAGUUGUGUAGGCUGGUGUCAAGCUUGCAGUCCUCCUGACUCAGCUUCCCAAGUCAUUGGGAUUACAGAUUUGUGCCACCACUCCCAGCAGAAAACUUGUGUACUCUUAAAAUUUCUUUUCUUUUUUUUGUAGAUGGACAUAAUGCCUUUUAUUUUAUUUAUUUAUUUUUAUGUGGUGCUGAGGCUCGAACCCAGUGCCUCAGAUGUGCUAGGCAAGUGUUCUACCACUGAGCUACAACCCCAGCCCUCGUAUAUUAUAAUAUAAAGCUCACCUAUGUUUAUUGUCAUAGCCAAUAUAAUUUUAAAAUAAGAGGCUGGGGGCAUAGCUCAGGGGUAGAAUGUGCAGCACAAGACCCUGGGUUCAGUUCCCAUCAACAAUAAAUAAUUAAGGGUUUGGUUUAGAUGGUCAGGGACACCUGAAGCAAUUGUUGCCCUCUGCUCACAAACAUAAUUCUUCUUUUUUCCUUUUUCUCCUGCUUGUUUUCUUUUUUUUUUGUCUUCUACCCUGAGGCUUGUGCCUAGGUGGGUAGGAUGACUGGAAGAUAAAGAAAACCUCAAUGUUUGUCAAUGACAGUCAUUUGAUUUUAAAGCACCGUGGAUUGAGAGACUUUUUUUGUUUUGUUUUGUUUGCACUGGGGACUGAACCCAGAGGCUCUCAACCACUGA
RNAcentral lists this long non-coding RNA (1014 nucleotides) under Marmota monax (woodchuck). Lineage: Eukaryota; Metazoa; Chordata; Mammalia; Rodentia; Sciuridae. The record is from RNAcentral.